Molecule: microRNA precursor, 61 nt
Filed under: Daphnia magna
Lineage: Eukaryota; Metazoa; Arthropoda; Branchiopoda; Diplostraca; Daphniidae
Description: Dma-Mir-1_pre stem-loop
Rfam family: mir-1 microRNA precursor family
About the family: This family represents the microRNA (miRNA) mir-1 family. miRNAs are transcribed as ~70nt precursors (modelled here) and subsequently processed by the Dicer enzyme to give a ~22nt product. In this case the mature sequence comes from the 3' arm of the precursor.
Source: RNAcentral
CCGUGCUUCCUUACUUCCCAUAGUCAAAUGACAAACGUAUGGAAUGUAAAGAAGUAUGGAG